GUGCAAAUGAUGUAAAUUUCGAUUCUACUGAGCAGUGUGAUGUUUCCAAAGGAACCACUGAUGCAC
Molecule: small nucleolar RNA, 66 nt
Organism: Corvus moneduloides (New Caledonian crow)
Lineage: Eukaryota; Metazoa; Chordata; Aves; Passeriformes; Corvidae
Gene: SNORD42
Rfam family: Small nucleolar RNA SNORD42
About the family: snoRNA U42 is found in intron 3 of the ribosomal protein L23a (RPL23a) gene in humans and is also present in mice. U42 is a member of the C/D class of snoRNA which contain C (UGAUGA) and D (CUGA) box motifs.
Source: Ensembl